RNAcentral lists this long non-coding RNA (480 nucleotides) under Androctonus crassicauda. Lineage: Eukaryota; Metazoa; Arthropoda; Arachnida; Scorpiones; Buthidae. The record is from RNAcentral.
CCACUGCAUGUUCUGAGACAGUGUGGGGUGCUAAGACAAAGAAGGUUAUGGGUGUGGAUGGGGGGUGGACAAAGCUUGGUCCCAUCAGUUAACAGGGUCUUGCAGGAGGCUCUGUAUGCCCCAGGGUACCGACCAGAUCCCCAGGUUCCAGCCAGAAGCCAUGCCCCAGGCUGGACCCUCAUCUCUCAUGUACAGGGCAGCCUGGCAGCCAGCGGUGGGCUGAGCUUCCAGCACCGGUGGGUUUGAACUGGCCUUGUGGUCCAAGGCAGCUCUGAGCAGGAUUGGGACAGGUCCCCUGGAGAGGUCAGAGGGGCCUCUGUGGGUGCUGGGUACUCCAGAGGUGCUGCUGGUGGAAGGAUCCCUGUGGCCCCAGUAAGGAGGGAGGGGCCCGCUCCGCUAUUUUUGGUCCCUGGGUUGGGAAGGACGAGAGCUAGAGCAGGGACCAAGUGGACAGAAAGUGUCAGCCUGAGAUCAGGGCUU